Molecule: small RNA, 285 nt
Filed under: Bos taurus (domestic cattle)
Lineage: Eukaryota; Metazoa; Chordata; Mammalia; Artiodactyla; Bovidae
Source: RNAcentral
UGGCCACUAAAAGAAAUUUAAGUUUAGUGAGGUGACUUAUCUGAAUCCUCAAUCUAUUCCUUGCUUCUCCAAAUCCUAACCCAGGACACAUAUUUGUUUCUAUUUGUCUCAUCCUCCUUCUCCCAUCUUCCCUCCGUUCUUCCCAGUUAUGUCUACUUUUCAUAUAGUCUCUCUUAAGCAAGAUCGUCUGCUAAUAUUCAUUUGAUGCUCUGGAGGAACUGUUGCCUUUAUAGAAGGGUUAUUUGUGAUGCUUCCAUGGAGAGAGUUGCACUCAAUGUGCUCUUU